This 775-nucleotide ribosomal RNA is filed under the name uncultured Neocallimastigales. RNAcentral describes it as "partial large subunit ribosomal RNA". It matches the Rfam family "Eukaryotic large subunit ribosomal RNA", at positions 23 to 649 of the family's 3401-position model. Lineage: Eukaryota; Fungi; Neocallimastigomycota; Neocallimastigomycetes; Neocallimastigales. The record is from RNAcentral.
AGAGAUGUGUGAUGACGCAUAUCAAUAAGCGGAGGAAAAGAAACUAACAAGGAUUCCCCUUAGUAACGGCGAGUGAAGCGGGAAGAGCUCAAAUUUGAAAUCUUCAAGGGUUUCCCUUGACGAAUUGUAGUUUAUAGAAGUGUUUUCUGUUAGUGGAGUGGCAAAAGUUCUUUGGAAUAGGACAUCAUAGAGGGUGAGAAUCCCGUAUUUGGUCAUUCUUUCUAGCUUUGUGAUACACUUUCAACGAGUCGGAUUGUUUGGGAAUGCAGUCCAAAAUGGGUGGUAAAUUUCAUCUAAAGCUAAAUAUUGGCGAGAGACCGAUAGCGAACAAGUACCGUGAGGGAAAGAUGAAAAGAACUUUGAAAAGAGAGUUAAACAGUACGUGAAAUUGUCAAAAGGGAAGCGUUUGACACCAGUGUUGUUUUUCCGAAAAUCAAUUACGAAUGUUUUGUUUUUGAGAAGUUAUGACUUCAUCGGCUUGCUUCUCUCUUUACGAAACUUUCUUAAUGCACUUUUCGGUUAACAAGUCAACAUCAAUUUCUUUUGUUGUAAAAGGGUAUGAGGAAGGUGGCUUUCUUUUCGGAGAAAGUGUUUAUAGCCUUGUACCUCUGCAAUCGGAGAGAUUGAGGUCUGCAGCGUAGAUCCUUCGGGGUUAGAUACAUUUGUGCUAAGUUAUAGCUUUUCAUAGACAACUUGUUGACUAUGUUAAGUCUUGUAGCUUACUCGCUUAUGCUAUUUUACCUACGCUUAGGAUGUUGAGUAGCGACAUACGCAC